Molecule: long non-coding RNA, 353 nt
Filed under: Mytilus galloprovincialis (Mediterranean mussel)
Lineage: Eukaryota; Metazoa; Mollusca; Bivalvia; Mytilida; Mytilidae
Source: RNAcentral
GGACGACAUAGACAUCAACAGAGAAGGCAUCUAUAAAUUAAUUAAAAAUAUAAACCCAAAAAAGGCAACAGGACCUGAUAACAUUACUGGAAUAGUGCUUAAAGAAAACAUCAACACAUGCACAGACAUACUCACUCUAAUUUUUACAAAAUCAAUGCAAACAGGAAAAGUACCUCACGAUUGGAACCACGCAAAUGUAACACCUGUUUUCAAAAAAGGAGACAAACAUCAUCCUGGUAACUAUCGUCCAAUUUCACUUACAUGUAUUUCAUGCAAAUUAUUAGAGCACAUAAUUGCAAGCAACAUUAUGAAACACCUUGAAUCCAACAACAUACUUUAUGACUUGCAACACG